AUUGAACGCUGGCGGCAUGCUUUACACAUGCAAGUCGAACGGUAACAGGUUAAGCUGACGAGUGGCGAACGGGUGAGUAAUGCAUCGGAACGUGCCCGAUCGUGGGGGAUAACGCAGCGAAAGCUGCGCUAAUACCGCAUACGAUCUGAGGAUGAGAGCGGGGGACCGUAAGGCCUCGCGCGAUCGGAGCGGCCGAUGUCAGAUUAGGUAGUUGGUGGGGUAAAGGCCCACCAAGCCGACGAUCUGUAGCUGGUCUGAGAGGACGACCAGCCACACUGGGACUGAGACACGGCCCAGACUCCUACGGGAGGCGGCAGUGGGGAAUUUUGGACAAUGGGCGAAAGCCUGAUCCAGCAAUGCCGCGUACAGGAAGAAGGCCUUCGGGUUGUAAACUGCUUUUGUACGGAGCGAAAAGGUCCUUUCUAAUACAGGGGGCUCAUGACGGUACCGUAAGAAUAAGCACCGGCUAACUACGUGCCAGCAGCCGCCGUAA
Molecule: ribosomal RNA, 493 nt
Filed under: uncultured bacterium
Lineage: Bacteria
Description: partial 16S ribosomal RNA
Rfam family: Bacterial small subunit ribosomal RNA
Source: RNAcentral